AGGACGAACGCUGGCGGCGUGCUUAACACAUGCAAGUCGAACGAUGAAGCCUUCGGGUGGAUUAGUGGCGAACGGGUGAGUAACACGUGGGUGAUCUGCCUCGUACUUCGGGAUAAGCUUGGGAAACUGGGUCUAAUACCGGAUAUGACCAGGGGCUGCAUGGUUUCUGGUGGAAAGAUUUAUCGGUGCGAGAUGAGCCCGCGGCCUAUCAGCUUGUUGGUGGGGUAAUGGCCUACCAAGGCGACGACGGGUAGCCGGCCUGAGAGGGCGAUCGGCCACACUGGGACUGAGACACGGCCCAGACUCCUACGGGAGGCAGCAGUGGGGAAUAUUGCACAAUGGGCGCAAGCCUGAUGCAGCGACGCCGCGUGGGGAUGACGGCCUUCGGUUGUAACCUCUUCGGCAGGGACGAAGCGAGAGUGACGGUACCUGCAGAAGAAGCACCGGCCAACUACGCGCUAGCAGCCGCGGU
This 472-nucleotide ribosomal RNA is filed under the name uncultured bacterium. RNAcentral describes it as "SSU rRNA". It matches the Rfam family "Bacterial small subunit ribosomal RNA", at positions 26 to 521 of the family's 1533-position model. The record is from RNAcentral.